AACGAACGCUGGCGGCAUGCCUAACACAUGCAAGUCGAACGAAGCCUUCGGGCUUAGUGGCGCACGGGUGCGUAACGCGUGGGAAUCUGCCCUUGGGUUCGGAAUAACAGUUAGAAAUGACUGCUAAUACCGAAUGAUGUCUUCGGACCAAAGAUUUAUCGCCCAAGGAUGAGCCCGCGUCGGAUUAGCUAGUUGGUGAGGUAAAGGCUCACCAAGGCGACGAUCCGUAGCUGGUCUGAGAGGAUGAUCAGCCACACUGGGACUGAGACACGGCCCAGACUCCUACGGGAGGCAGCAGUGGGGAAUAUUGGACAAUGGGCGAAAGGCCUGAUCCAGCAAUGCCGCGUGAGUGAUGAAGGCCUUAGGGUUGUAAAGUCUCUUUUACCCGGGUAUGAUAAUGACAGUAACCGGGAGAAUAAGCCCCGGCCUAACUCCGUGCCAGCAGCCGCGGUAAU
This 455-nucleotide ribosomal RNA is filed under the name uncultured bacterium. RNAcentral describes it as "bacterial SSU rRNA". It matches the Rfam family "Bacterial small subunit ribosomal RNA", at positions 29 to 524 of the family's 1533-position model. The record is from RNAcentral.